This 4965-nucleotide ribosomal RNA is filed under the name Triticum aestivum (bread wheat). RNAcentral describes it as "partial small subunit ribosomal RNA". The record is from RNAcentral. Lineage: Eukaryota; Viridiplantae; Streptophyta; Magnoliopsida; Poales; Poaceae.
AUGCAGUUCCAGUCUGGCAACUGUGCCAAAACGUUGGCAAAAGUAGAUGGAUCUGGUGCAAAAGAUUUGUCAGUCGGCCCAAGCACAUUUGGUUUUCCACAAGAUGCUAAUCAGGAAUAUUUUAACCAGGCUUGCCAGUGCAGUUAUCCAGUUUCAACGCAAGGCUUUCCAGAUUUACCAAGCGUUCCAGAUUUUGUUCUGAAUAAUGCUUCUGCUGCACUCAGGGAAUAUCAACAAUUUGACCACUUUUUCAGACCACUUCAGCCUCUGGCACCUGAUGGAAACCAGGUGCAAAAUAGUGGCAUAAAUACCGCACAUCGCAGUAGACCUUCUAAUGCAUCCUCCUGCCUUGAUCAUGUAGAAGAAAUAACUUCUCAUGACACGGAUGGUUAUGACGACAGAGCUAUCUCAUUUGGGAGUAGCUGCAGCACAGGAAUUGCGUGUUAUCCAUAUAGUAGCCCUAUGCAAAGUGAUGACUGCAUUGCAGACACGCAGGAUGGGACCUGGGCUGCUCUUAUGCAAAUGCAACAGGCUUUGGAGGCGGCUAAUGAUGAGUGCAGUGACUUGACUUUCAAUAACACAGAACUUUCAGGUGGGAAUACCAUGCAGCAUCAAGUUGUUUGGGACAAUGGCUGUUUAGCAAGUCCGUCUUUCACCUCAAACUUUUUACCCUUCCCUGGAGAGGCUGAAACCACGGUCACAAGUACCAGCGCUAUGUUUAACUUACAUAACUCUGUUGAUCUCCCGUAUGAUAAUGAUCAAGACAUAUCAUCUUUUGAGCUCAAAGUAGCUGAACAGAAAGAGGCAACCACAAGCCAUGUUUGUGAACAUCGAGAUGAAAUGCAUUCUGCUGAACAGGGGGGAAAUCCUGGCCACGACGGAUCUUUUGAUUUGACAAUAACCCAGGACAGACAGUUCAGUUCAUUUGUUAAUGGUGCAAAUGGAUCUGUAGAUAGUGGAAUGAACCUUUAUGAUUGUGAAGAGCAAAUGGAAAUUGAUUCACUCCUAAGUUCAUUUGGAGCAUCAAGUGAUACCUUUGCACAGACAUAUGAAAUGUUACAGAAAGGUGAAAAUAUUGUUGACCUUGAAAAAAAGGCUAAAUUAGCAGAAAGCAUUUCUGCUACAUUCAUGACUAAUACUGUCCCAUAUAUUACACAAGCUGGGGUGACUGAGUCAACUGUCUCUGAUGGAUCUUCUUGGACUCAACAAUAUCAAUCUACUUCCCAGUCAUGUGGUUUAUCUUAUUCUUCAGCUUCUCAAUGGGAAACCAUGCCAGGUACUGUUUUUCCUUUAGGGGGUUGUCGAAAUGAUGUUAGUGAGUCCAAUUCAAUGACUAGCCUGGGGACAAAUGGCGAUCUCCUGUUAUCUUUUGGCCAUACUUCAAUGCAGCAGCAACAGAGUUUAUCUAGUGAUACUAAUUUGGAAUUGAUUGACAAUUUUGCUAACCCUUGUCAAGAGUUUGUGAUGGGUAUGGAUGGUCAAAGGAGCCACCUAUACCGUGAUGAAGCACUGGCAACCCAAGGUGUAUGGGCGGCACAUCCUGAUACGAUGGUACACUCUUCAACUGAUACUGGACGUUCAGAUGUACAGCUGCCCAUGACACAGACUACUACUGUUCCGCUGCCUGCUCCGAGAUUGUCCAAGGGGCCCAACUCAUUAUUUAUUGGAACAGAGCUUAAGAAGGUUGACCAAAAUCAUUCAGAUAUGCAGCUUCCCUUGACACAGACUAGUCAUGUUCAGCUGCCUGCUAUGAACUUGUCCGAGUACCCGACCUCGUCAUUUGUUGGAGGAACAAAGCUUAAGAAAGUUGACAAACAUGAUUCGUAUAUGCAGCUUCCCAUGACACAUGCUAGUCAUGUUCCGCUGCCUGCUACGAGCUUGUCCGAGGAUCCGAAGUCAUCAUUUAUUGGAGGAACAGAGCUUAAGGAAGUUGGCAAACAUGAUUCAGAUAUGCCGCUUCCCAUGACACAGGCUAGUCAUGUUCCGCUGCCUGCUGUGCGCUUAUCUGAGGACACGAAAUCAUCAUUUAUCGCAGGAGCAGAGCUUAAGGAAGUUGACAAACAUGAUUCAGAUACACCGCUUCCCAUGGCACAGGCUAGUCAUGUUCCGCUGCCUACCAUGAGCUUACCUGAGGAUACGAAAUCGUCAUUUAUUGGAGGAACAGAGCUUAAGGAAGUUGACAAACAUGAUUCAGAUAUGCAGCCUCCCAUAACACCGGCUAGUCAUGCUCCACUGCCUGCUGUGAGCUUGUCCGAGGACCCAAAAUCAUCAUUUACUGGAGGUACAGAGCUUAAGGAAGUUGGCAAACAUGAUUCAGAUAUGCAGCAUCCCAUGACACCUGCUAGUCAUGUUCUGCUGCCUUCUGUGAGCAUGUCCAGGGAUCCAAAAUCAUCAUUUACCGGAGGUACAGAGCUUAAGGAAGUUGGCAAACAUGAUUCAGAUAUGCAGCUUUCCAUGACGCAGACUGUUCAUGUUCAUCUGCCUACUCCGAGCUUGUCCAAGGACUCCGAGUCAUCAUUUGUUGGAGGAACAGAGCUUAAGGAAGUCGACAAACAUGAUUCAGAUAUGCAGCCUCCUAGGACGCAGGCUAGUCAUGUUCCGCUGCCUUCUGUGAACAUGUCCAAGGAUCCAAAAUCAUCAUUUACCGGAGGUACAGAGCUUAAGGAAGUUGGCAAACAUGAUUCAGAUAUGCAGCUUUCCAUGACGCAGACUGUUCAUGUUCAUCUGCCUACUCCGAGCUUGUCCAAGGACUCCGAGUCAUCAUUUGUUGGAGGAACAGAGCUUGAGGAAGUCGACAAACAUGAUUCAGAUAUGCAGCCUCCUAGGACGCAGGCUAGUCAUGUUCCGCUGCCUGCUGUGAGCUUGUCUGAGGACCCGAACUCAUCCUUUAUUGGAGGUACAGAGCUUAAGGAAGUCGGCAAACAUGAUUCAGAUAUUCAGCUUCCCAUCACACAGACUGUUUGUGUUCAGCUGCCUGCUAUGAGCUUAUCCGAGGAUCCGAAAUCAUCAUUUAUCAAAGGAACAGAGCUUAAGGAAGUUGACAAAGAUGAUUCAGAUAUACCGCUUCCCGUGGCACAGGCUAGGCAUGUUCCACUGCCUACCAUGAGCUUACCUGAGGACACGAAAUCGUCAUUUAUUGGAGGAACAGAGCUUAAGGAAGUUGACAAACAUGAUUCAGAUAUGCAGCCUCCCAUAACACCGGCUAGUCAUGUUCCACUGCCUGCUGUGAGCUUGUCCGAGGACCCAAAAUCAUCAUUUACUGGAGGUACAGAGCUUAAGGAAGUUGCCAAACAUGAUUCAGAUAUGCAGCUUCCCAUGACGCAGACUGUUCGUCUUCGGCUGCAUGCUCCGAGCAUGUCCAAGGACUCUGAGUUGUCAUUUGUUGGAGGAACAGAGCUUAAGGAAGUCGACAAACAUGAUUCAGAUAUGCAGCCUCCCAUGACGCAGGCUAGUCUUGUUCCGCUGCCUGCUGUGAGCUUGUCCGAGGACCCGAACUCAUCCUUUAUUGGAGGUACAGAGCUUAAGCAAGUCGACAAACAUGAUUCAGAUAUGCAGCCUCCCAUGACGCAGACUAGUCUUGUUCCGCUGCCUGCUGUGAGCUUGUCCGAGGACCCUAACUCAUCCUUUAUUGGAGGUACAGAGCUUAAGGAAGUUGGCAAACAUGAUUCAGAUAUUCAGCCUCCCAUGACACAGACUGUUCGUGUUCAGCUGCCUGCGAUGAGCUUAUCCGAGGAUCCAAAAUCAUCAUUUAUCAAAGGAACAGAGCUUAAGGAAGUUGACAAACAUGAUUUGGGUAUACCGCUUCCCAUGGCACAGGCUGGUCUUGUUCCGCUGCCUACCGUGAGCUUACCCGAGGACACGAAAUCCUCAUUUAUUGGAGGAACAGAGCUUAAGGAAGUUGACAAACAUGAUUCAGAUAUGCAACCUCCCAUAACACCGGCUAUUCAUGUUCUGCUGCCUGCUGUGAGCUUGUCCGAGGACCCGAAAUCAUCAUUUACUGGAGGUACAGAGCUUAAGGAAGUUGGCAAACAUGAUUCAGAUAUGCAGCUUCCCAUGACGCACACUGUUCGUGUUCAGCUGCCUGCUCCGAGCUUGUCGAAGGACCCCGACUCGGCAUUUGUUGGAAGAACAGAGCUUAAGAAGGUUGGCCACAUUGGAUAUCCUCAGCAAAGUAUCCUGCUCUCAGCAAGCAAACCUUCACACCCAAUCGGUUUGCCAGUUAUCAAGUUUGAUGACGAGGUGGGUUCACGGUCAAAGAAGCGGAAAAGGUCAACAGAAGAUGUUUUAGCAUCGCAUGCACAAGCCAUGUUCGAGGGUGGGAGACUGCAAUGUAGAAGGACACCUGAGUUGGCUUGGGCUGAUGCCACAUUGACUGAGAAGGUUGACGGUGAAAAAGCAACGUCGGAAAAUAGCACCUUCGUUUCUCGAGCUCAGAGAAGACUUACUUUAACGACCAGCUUGAUUCAGUGUCUCCUUCCUGCUCUGUCAGCGAGACUUCUUGCAGCAAAAGUUGCUGAUUGCGGUGAAGCCAUUGUGUACCACAUUUGUAAACUGGUGCUCAGUGAUAUGUCUGACCCAGUUCAAUCUUUUGUCAGCGACACCAACAACUUCAUGCAAAGUGAAAACAUGCCACCGAACGAGACAAGCACCUCCGGAAAGGAGGACCGUAAACUCUUAUCUGAAGUUCUGGAAACCUUCGAUGUGAGGCUUGGCGGGCUACAAAGCUCCUUGUCAAGAAUCGAGAAUAUGCCCAGCUUCCAAGACUACGCGGCAGCGCUACACCAAAUCGAGCAGUGGUCCAUGACUCAUCAGUUCAUAAAGCUGAACGAAUACAAGAGAUUGCAUGCCGGCUACGGCUCGGGUCCUAAAAGGCCUCUUUGCGUCGGAGCCAUCCGGAAGCAUGCCGGAGGAUCUUCCGCGCCGGUCUCAGAGCUGAAAAGGAUUCGGUGUCGCUCACUCAAGUAG